CUUAAUGAAUCUUAGGCCCAAUACACGUGCAUCCAAGGAGUGAGUCAUCACCAUAAUGUUCAUUUCAUGUUUGUACUCAGCUCAACUCAACGUGUUUUACUCCUUGGCCUGAGUCUUAAGCUCCACAGCUCGGUGAGUGUUGAAGAUUGACGAAGAUGACGCUGAACAAGAAAACCUUGGAAUCCAACCGGGUUUGCUUGGCUUGACAUGAAAAUUUGAUCAAGGUAUGAAAUCAAGGCAUGAACCAAGGGACAAGUGAUGACACAUCACACAAGUCAUGAUAAGGCUUGAAGAUCAAGAUGAGGUGGUUUAUGCAAGAAGAAUAAUCAUGGGGCUUAGGGUUUAGGAAUAGGUGGUUGACUUUGGUCAACUUGUUGACCAAAAAAUCAACAGUUGAUCAAAGUCAAUUGUUGGUCAAAAGUUUUUUUUUCUUCUUUUUUUGUAUUUAUUUUCAUGAUUUAGAUUUUGUAAUAUGGUUUGGUGUUUAUGUAAUGAGAAUGGCUCUUUUUUGAAUGAA
This is a long non-coding RNA of Lathyrus oleraceus (garden pea), 517 nucleotides long. RefSeq lists it as uncharacterized. The record is from RefSeq and is a predicted model, not a curated record. Lineage: Eukaryota; Viridiplantae; Streptophyta; Magnoliopsida; Fabales; Fabaceae. The transcript is spliced from 2 exons.